Molecule: ribosomal RNA, 407 nt
Filed under: uncultured bacterium
Lineage: Bacteria
Description: partial 16S ribosomal RNA
Rfam family: Bacterial small subunit ribosomal RNA
Source: RNAcentral
AUUGAACGCUGGCGGCAGGCUUAACACAUGCAAGUCGAGCGGAGCGGCGGACGGGUGAGUAAUUCCUAGGAAUCUGCCUGGUAGUGGGGGAUAACGUCCGGAAACGGGCGCUAACACCGCAUACUCCCAGCUGAGCCUAGGUCGGAUUAGCUAGUUGGUGGGGUAAAGGCCGACCAAGGCGACGACCCAUACCUGGUCCGAGAGGAUGAUCAGUCAAACUGGAACGGAGACACGGUCCAGACUCCUACGGGAGGCAGCAGUGGGGAAUAUUGGACAAUGGGCGAAAGCCUGAUCCAGCCAUGCCGCGUGUGUGAAGAAGGUCUUCGGAUUGUAAAGCUCUUUAGGUUGAUAGGCGUUACCAACAGAAUAAGCACCGGCUAACUUCGUGCCAGCAGCCGCGGUAAUUC